This 503-nucleotide ribosomal RNA is filed under the name uncultured bacterium. RNAcentral's name for it is "partial 16S ribosomal RNA". It matches the Rfam family "Bacterial small subunit ribosomal RNA", at positions 30 to 523 of the family's 1533-position model. The record is from RNAcentral.
AUUGAACGCUGGCGGCAGGCUUAACACAUGCAAGUCGAGCGGGGUAAUGGUGCUUGCACUAUCACUUAGCGGCGGACGGGUGAGUAAUGCUUAGGAAUCUGCCUAUUAGUGGGGGACAACAUCUCGAAAGGGAUGCUAAUACCGCAUACGUCCUACGGGAGAAAGCAGGGGAUCACUCGUGACCUUGCGCUAAUAGAUGAGCCUAAGUCGGAUUAGCUAGUUGGUGGGGUAAAGGCCUACCAAGGCGACGAUCUGUAGCGGGUCUGAGAGGAUGAUCCGCCACACUGGGACGGAGACACGGCCCAGACGCCUACGGGAGGCAGCAGUGGGGAAUAUUGGACAAUGGGGGAAACCCUGACGCAGCAACGCCGCGUGAGUGAGGAAGGACUUCGGUCUGUAAAGCUCUGUUAAUGUAGAAAAAUGGUAGUUGGUCUAAUAGGCCAAUUGCUUGAUGGUAUACAUAGAGGAAGCACCGGCUAACUUCGUGCCAGCCGCCGCGGUAA